Molecule: long non-coding RNA, 1015 nt
Organism: Cercocebus atys (sooty mangabey)
Lineage: Eukaryota; Metazoa; Chordata; Mammalia; Primates; Cercopithecidae
Exons: 3
Source: RefSeq, a predicted model, not a curated record
ACACAGAUGGGAAAGCCAUCCUCAGGUUGACACACCUAAGUUCCAACACUUCAAGGUAGUAAGUAAGUAAUUCUUUCUUUUCUAGAGACCCUCACUGCAAAAUCUCACCCGGAAGACUUCAGGGACUGGAUAUCGGUAUUAUCUGGGUAAAAAAUGCCCCUCUGGUAAAUCAGCUGUGCCAAGAGGAUGCGGCUUAUAUGGAAGAGCUUGGGACCCAAGCAUUUGGAGGAUAAGAGGAUGUGGCUUUAUCCCCAGAAGAAACUCGCCAACCUCAAGUUGGAAGUCAAGGCUUCUGAAACCGACGUGGGAGAGGGGAGAAGUAGAGUCUAACUCUCAACACUUACACAGGUGGGCUAAACCAGUUAUCCACUCUCUCCUCCCACUACCCUUCACCAGGAAUUCACUUUCCUGGUGUUGAUUCCCUGGAGCAGUCUUUCUGAACUCCAAGGUCAUGGUCACCCUGUUCCACUUCCCAAGCAUGUCCUUCUCCAGCCCUACGACACACAGAAGCCUAUGGACUUCUCAUCAUACAUCAUAAGGGCUUCUUCUUUGAGUCCUGGGUCACCCCAUCUCAUAUUAGUAAACUAAGACAACCAAGUAUCUUUAAUCACCAUGGGUUUUUUUCAGUGGGGGAAGCGAAGGGGCAAAAAGUAUGGAGGUCUAAGCCUCACCUUUCUGAAGAUUCAGUUAGUUCCAAUAGAGGAAGGGACUUGCACGGCUCAUAAGGAUUUUUCAAAGUAGCAGCUCGAAGGCAGCACAUAGGAGCAUUUCACAGCUGCAUCCCUCCUUGACAAUCCUGCCUCUUCUACAAAGCUAAGAAUACUCCUCAACUAACCCUCAGUCCUUGAGGAGGAGAAGCCUGAGAAGAUAGAAUUUGAUCCUGCAGAAUAAAUGGCAGGAAUUAGUCGAGUCACAGCUGUGUCUCUCUGAAAUGUGGGGUUUUUUUCCAUUAGGAUGUUGCUUUUCUCAACAUGAAUAUAAAAUACAGUCCAGGAACAGUGGCUCACACCUGUAA